GAUGAACGCUGGCGGCGCGCCUAAUACAUGCAAGUCGAGCGAACAGACGAGGAGCUUGCUCCUCUGACGUUAGCGGAGGACGGGAGAGUAACACGAGGAUAACGUACCUAUAAGAGUGGGAAAAAUACGGGAAACGGGAGAAAAUAGGGGAGAAUAUAUUGAAGCGCAGGGGUCAAUAGAGAAAGACGGUUUUGGGGGAAGGAAUAGAUGGAUACCAGCCGGAUUAGCUAGUUGGUAAGGUAACGGCUUACCAAGGGAACGAGGCGUAGGCGACCUCAGAGGGUGAUCGGCCACCCUGGAACUUAGACACGGUCCAUACUCCUACGGUAGGCAGCAGUCUGCAAUCUUCCGCAAUGGUCGAAAGCCUUACGGAGCAACGCCGCGUGAGUGAUGAAGGUCUUCGGAUCGUAAUACUCUGUUAUUAGUGAAGAACAAAUGUGUAAGUAACUAUGCACGUCUUGACGGUACCUAAUCAGAAAGCCACGGCUAACUACGUG
Molecule: ribosomal RNA, 497 nt
Filed under: uncultured bacterium
Lineage: Bacteria
Description: partial 16S ribosomal RNA
Rfam family: Bacterial small subunit ribosomal RNA
Source: RNAcentral